Callithrix jacchus (white-tufted-ear marmoset) is the source of this 95-nucleotide non-coding RNA. Lineage: Eukaryota; Metazoa; Chordata; Mammalia; Primates; Cebidae. The record is from Rfam.
GCUGUUCGGUGAUGAGGCUCAGAGUGCACGCUGGGCACAGCGCCCGAAUCAGACACUGUGGAACCAUUCUCUACUGCCUUCCUUCUGAGAACAGC